UACAGUGAAAAGAGCACUCACUCCGGAAUGCACACGAACCACUCAAUAGCAAAUACCACUAUGCUUGUAAACACAACACUGAAAAAUGCAAAUAAGGUGUCUGCAAGCCAGGAAUAUUGGGACUACAGAGUUUUACGACUUUCUGGCGGCUUGAGUGAACCAGGUCAAGUGAACUGGGACCUAGCAUUGUGUCUGUUGUUGGCUUGGAUCAUUUGUUACUUAUGUGUGUGUAAAGGAGUCAAAUCCAGCGGAAAGGUUGUGUACUUCACUGCUACAGCUCCUUAUCUGCUAUUGACCGCCAUUCUGAUUCGUGGAGUGACAUUGCCGGGAGCCAUUGAUGGAAUCAAGUUUUAUCUUACUCCUGAUCUGUCAAGACUUUCAGAUGGCCAGGUCUGGAUCGACGCCGCGACUCAAGUGUUUUUCUCAUACUCCCUUGGUAUGGGGACCAUGACAGCGCUUGGAAGCUACAACAAAUUUAAGAACAACUUUUACAGGGAUUCCAUAAUAUUUACAUGCUGCAAUAGUGGAACAAGUUUCUAUGGCGGAUUUCUGAUCUUCUCUGUGCUGGGAUUUAUGGCAAAAAAUCAAGGAGUGGAAGUGAAGGACGUCGCUAAGUCAGGUCCAGGACUUGCCUUCAUCGUUUAUCCAGAAGCGGUUGCUCAGAUGCCUUUAGCUCCGUUAUGGUCUGCUUUGUUUUUCUUCAUGUUAAUCUUGCUUGGUCUUGACAGUGAGUUUGUAGGUAUCGAGGGUGUCGUCACAGGCGUCGUUGAUUUGUUUCCGCAACAUCUGAGGCGUGGCCAUCGCAAGGAACUGUUUACCGCCUUUAUCUGUUGCAUUUGGUUUCUACUCGGUUUGUCCAUGGUCACUGAGGGUGGUAUGUACGUGUUCCAAUUGUUUGACGCAUACUCUGGCAGCGGAUCAGUUCUGUUGUUGGUGGUCAUCUGCGAAUGUGUUGCCAUAGGAUGGUUUUAUGGACGUCAUCGUUUCUAUGACAACUUUGAAAGCAUGCUGGGAUUUCGAAUCAAUCCAUGGAUUGGCUGGUGCUGGUGUUUUCUCGCGCCCAUUUUUUGUUCGUUUAUUUUCGUCUUUAACCUUGUGACGUAUUCACCACUCAAAUUCGGCGACUACGUGUACCCAGGCUGGGGGCAGGCGAUUGGUUGGCUGCUGAUGGUAUCCUCGUUAAUUCUUAUUCCCGCGGUGAUGAUAUACAANUCUGUUGUUGGCUUGGAUCAUUUGUUACUUAUGUGUGUGUAAAGGAGUCAAAUCCAGCGGAAAGGUUGUGUACUUCACUGCUACAGCUCCUUAUCUGCUAUUGACCGCCAGUCUGAUUCGUGGAGUGACAUUGCCGGGAGCCAUUGAUGGAAUCAAGUUUUAUCUUACUCCUGAUCUGUCAAGACUUUCAGAUGGCCAGGUCUGGAUCGACGCCGCGACUCAAGUGUUUUUCUCAUACUCCCUUGGUAUGGGGACCAUGACAGCGCUUGGAAGCUACAACAAAUUUAAGAACAACUUUUACAGGGAUUCCAUAAUAUUUACAUGCUGCAAUAGUGGAACAAGUUUCUAUGGCGGAUUUCUGAUCUUCUCAGUGCUGGGAUUUAUGGCAAAAAAUCAAGGAGUGAAAGUGAAGGAUGUCGCUAAGUCAGGUCCAGGACUUGCCUUCAUCGUUUAUCCAGAGGCGGUUGCUCAGAUGCCUUUAGCUCCGUUAUGGUCUGCUUUGUUUUUCUUCAUGUUAAUCUUGCUCGGUCUUGACAGUGAGUUUGUAGGUAUCGAGGGCGUUGUUACAGGCGUCGUUGAUUUGUUUCCGCAACAUCUGAGGCGUGGCCAUCGCAAGGAAAUGUUUACCGCCUUUAUCUGUUGCGUCUGGUUUCUACUCGGUUUGUCCAUGGUUACUGAGGGUGGUAUGUACGUGUUCCAAUUGUUUGACGCAUACUCUGGCAGCGGAUCAGUUCUGUUGUUGGUGGUCAUCUGCGAAUGUGUUGCCAUAGGAUGGUUUUAUGGACGUCAUCGUUUCUAUGACAACUUUGAAAGCAUGCUGGGAUUUCGAAUCAAUCCAUGGAUUGGCUGGUGCUGGUGUUUUCUCGCGCCCAUUUUUUGUUCGUUUAUUUUCGUCUUUAACCUUGUGACGUAUUCACCACUCAAAUUCGGCGACUACGUGUACCCAGGCUGGGGGCAGGCGAUUGGUUGGCUGCUGAUGGUAUCCUCGUUAAUUCUUAUUCCCGCGGUGAUGAUAUACAAGCUGUUCAAGACUACUGGAACUAUCAAAGAGCGUUUGGACAAGUUACUUGUACCUGACAUCGAGGUGAAAGACAGAGAUAUAAAUGGGCUGGGCAGUGAGCCAAAGAAGGCAGGAACAAAUGAAAAAGCUGAAUUAAUUACAAGUUCGGUGUAAACCGAGCCGAAUAAGAAUUCAUGUGUUAUUAAUCUAAUUUAUGGGAAUUUUACGUAAAUUUUCAUUCAUUAUUUUCUAGUUUGAUAGUUGUUUGUAGUUGCCAUACAUAAAAAAGAGUAGAGAAUUAUCGGAAAUUGUUGUAUGUAAGCUUUGUUAACCCUGGGUGGUA
Orbicella faveolata is the source of this 2555-nucleotide non-coding RNA. The record is from RefSeq and is a predicted model, not a curated record. Lineage: Eukaryota; Metazoa; Cnidaria; Anthozoa; Scleractinia; Merulinidae.